RNAcentral lists this ribosomal RNA (449 nucleotides) under uncultured bacterium. Its description in RNAcentral is "bacterial SSU rRNA". It matches the Rfam family "Bacterial small subunit ribosomal RNA", at positions 331 to 794 of the family's 1533-position model. The record is from RNAcentral.
CCAGACUCCUACGGGAGGCAGCAGUGGGGGAUAUUGGACAAUGGGGGGAACCCUGAUCCAGCGACGCCGCGUGAGUGAAGAAGUAUUUCGGUAUGUAAAGCUCUGUCAGCAGGGAAGAAAGCAAUGACGGUACCUGACCAAGAAGCCCCGGCUAACUACGUGCCAGCAGCCGCGGUAAUACGUAGGGGGCAAGCGUUAUCCGGAUUUACUGGGUGUAAAGGGAGCGUAGACGGCAGCACAAGUCUGGAGUGAAAUGCCGGGGCUUAACCCCGGAACUGCUUUGGAAACUGUGCAGCUAGAGUGCAGGAGAGGUAAGUGGAAUUCCUAGUGUAGCGGUGAAAUGCGUAGAUAUUAGGAGGAACACCAGUGGCGAAGGCGGUCUGCUGGACAGCAACUGACGCUGAGGCGCGAAAGCGUGGGGAGCAAACAGGAUUAGAUACCCGAGUACC